UACGGAGGGAGCUAGCGUUGUUCGGAAUUACUGGGCGUAAAGCGCGCGUAGGCGGCUUUGUAAGUUAGAGGUGAAAGCCCGGGGCUCAACUCCGGAAUUGCCUUUAAGACUGCAUCGCUUGAACAUCGGAGAGGUAAGUGGAAUUCCGAGUGUAGAGGUGAAAUUCGUAGAUAUUCGGAAGAACACCAGUGGCGAAGGCGACUUACUGGACGAUUGUUGACGCUGAGGUGCGAAAGCGUGGGGAGCAAACAGG
RNAcentral lists this ribosomal RNA (253 nucleotides) under uncultured bacterium. RNAcentral's name for it is "partial 16S ribosomal RNA". It matches the Rfam family "Bacterial small subunit ribosomal RNA", at positions 524 to 776 of the family's 1533-position model. The record is from RNAcentral.